AGCAAUCAGGAUCUUGUUUAGUCCGAUUUAGCGGAUGAUCCACCUAUGGUGAUUAUCUUCUGGUACGCUGCAAUCGGGAUUAACAAGUGUCCUAAUUUUAGUCCAAGCAAGUGGACUAAACCUGCUUAAUAUGCACUAGUUAAACGCAUCAAGUGGACUAAUUUUGGUAAAUAAAUGAUGAAACAAACAUCCACGAUUCAACCCAGAGCAGCCUAGGCUACACCGUUUGCACAGCAUCCAGUCAAGCAGGGAUGUAUCCCUUCCUUUCUUCCAGGACUCUGACGCGCUGGUUCUGCCCAUCAUAGGAAACCACGGCCCUGGUGUUCCUGCCGGUGUAAUGCUCGUACUCGACCGUCCUGCCUUCCCAUUGCUGGGGGGCCUGACACGGCUGAACCAUGGGGCCGCUGGCACUGGGGCUGCCCAGCGAGGAUGCAGCAAUAGUCAUCCAGACUGCAGCAAACUUCAAGAAAGACAUAAGCAUUACACAAAACAUGAUUAAUUUAGGAAAACAAAUAAGUACAAUCUUUACAGAUAUAAUGGCGUCACUAGUCCUGUUUUUACAGACUGCAUAUAACCCUGCACUCCUGCAGUGCCUCGCUGUGUGAAGAAGCGAUAGAGUGGUACCUACUGGGAGAAAAUAAAAUCAAUGUCUUUAUUGUAGCACUCAACAGAGCUGCAUCAAUUCACUUGUUCAUUGUCUAUAUCGAUAACAUAGCCUAAUGCUUUGUGUAAAAUUACUGUGUGUCAUUAAUAUUGAGAUAUGUGUGUUUUACUGGCAGCAAACUAUGUUACAGGACAGUCCAUCGCUGGUUUUAAAUUGCUACUGUAUCAUGUAAAUGUCUUCUUGAAAUCGAAGUACCGGUGUGGUGUUAUUUUGUGGUAUGCAUUAAAAAGUGGUACACGA
This is a long non-coding RNA of Acipenser ruthenus (sterlet), 904 nucleotides long. RefSeq lists it as uncharacterized. The transcript is spliced from 3 exons. The record is from RefSeq and is a predicted model, not a curated record. Lineage: Eukaryota; Metazoa; Chordata; Actinopteri; Acipenseriformes; Acipenseridae.